This 379-nucleotide ribosomal RNA is filed under the name marine Metazoa environmental sample. RNAcentral's name for it is "SSU rRNA". It matches the Rfam family "Eukaryotic small subunit ribosomal RNA", at positions 587 to 972 of the family's 1831-position model. Lineage: Eukaryota; Metazoa. The record is from RNAcentral.
AGCUCCAAUAGCGUAUAUUAAAGUUGUUGCAGUUAAAAAGCUCGUAGUUGGAUUUCGGAAUGGGCCAGUUGGUCCGCCGCAAGGUGAGUUACUGACUGGUUUGUUCUUCUUCGCAAAGACUGCGUGUGCUCUUUACUGAGUGUACGUAGGAUUUACGACGUUUACUUUGAAAAAAUUAGAGUGUUCAAAGCAGGCUAUCGCUUGAAUACAUGAGCAUGGAAUAAUGGAAUAGGACUUUGGUUCUAUUUGGUUGGUUGCUAGGACCGAAGUAAUGAUUAAGAGGGACAAUUGGGGGCAUCCGUAUUUCGUUGUCAGAGGUGAAAUUCUUGGAUUUACGAAAGACGAACAACUGCGAAAGCACUUGCCAAGAGUGUUUUCA